AAGGGCAUAGUUCAAUUGGCAGAACCGCGAACUUCAAAUUCGCUAGUGUGUGUUCAAAUCACGCUGUCCUUG
This 72-nucleotide transfer RNA is filed under the name Rhodotorula toruloides. RNAcentral's name for it is "tRNA-SeC (TCA) cove score=42.81". It matches the Rfam family "tRNA". Rfam says of the family: Transfer RNA (tRNA) molecules are approximately 80 nucleotides in length. Their secondary structure includes four short double-helical elements and three loops (D, anti-codon, and T loops). Lineage: Eukaryota; Fungi; Basidiomycota; Microbotryomycetes; Sporidiobolales; Sporidiobolaceae. The record is from RNAcentral.